This 1339-nucleotide ribosomal RNA is filed under the name Chryseobacterium indologenes. RNAcentral's name for it is "bacterial SSU rRNA". It matches the Rfam family "Bacterial small subunit ribosomal RNA", at positions 88 to 1434 of the family's 1533-position model. Lineage: Bacteria; Pseudomonadati; Bacteroidota; Flavobacteriia; Flavobacteriales; Weeksellaceae. The record is from RNAcentral.
CUUGAGAGCGGCGUACGGGUGCGGAACACGUGUGCAACCUGCCUUUAUCUGGGGGAUAGCCUUUCGAAAGGAAGAUUAAUACCCCAUAAUAUGUUGGAUGGCAUCAUUCGACAUUGAAAACUCCGGUGGAUAGAGAUGGGCACGCGCAAGAUUAGAUAGUUGGUGAGGUAACGGCUCACCAAGUCUGCGAUCUUUAGGGGGCCUGAGAGGGUGAUCCCCCACACUGGUACUGAGACACGGACCAGACUCCUACGGGAGGCAGCAGUGAGGAAUAUUGGACAAUGGGUGAGAGCCUGAUCCAGCCAUCCCGCGUGAAGGACGACGGCCCUAUGGGUUGUAAACUUCUUUUGUAUAGGGAUAAACCUACUCUCGUGAGAGUAGCUGAAGGUACUAUACGAAUAAGCACCGGCUAACUCCGUGCCAGCAGCCGCGGUAAUACGGAGGGUGCAAGCGUUAUCCGGAUUUAUUGGGUUUAAAGGGUCCGUAGGCGGAUCUGUAAGUCAGUGGUGAAAUCUCACAGCUUAACUGUGAAACUGCCAUUGAUACUGCAGGUCUUGAGUGUUGUUGAAGUAGCUGGAAUAAGUAGUGUAGCGGUGAAAUGCAUAGAUAUUACUUAGAACACCAAUUGCGAAGGCAGGUUACUAAGCAACAACUGACGCUGAUGGACGAAAGCGUGGGGAGCGAACAGGAUUAGAUACCCUGGUAGUCCACGCCGUAAACGAUGCUAACUCGUUUUUGGGCUUUCGGGUUCAGAGACUAAGCGAAAGUGAUAAGUUAGCCACCUGGGGAGUACGAACGCAAGUUUGAAACUCAAAGGAAUUGACGGGGGCCCGCACAAGCGGUGGAUUAUGUGGUUUAAUUCGAUGAUACGCGAGGAACCUUACCAAGGCUUAAAUGGGAAAUGACAGGUUUAGAAAUAGACUUUUCUUCGGACAUUUUUCAAGGUGCUGCAUGGUUGUCGUCAGCUCGUGCCGUGAGGUGUUAGGUUAAGUCCUGCAACGAGCGCAACCCCUGUCACUAGUUGCCAUCAUUAAGUUGGGGACUCUAGUGAGACUGCCUACGCAAGUAGAGAGGAAGGUGGGGAUGACGUCAAAUCAUCACGGCCCUUACGCCUUGGGCCACACACGUAAUACAAUGGCCGGUACAGAGGGCAGCUACACAGCGAUGUGAUGCAAAUCUCGAAAGCCGGUCUCAGUUCGGAUUGGAGUCUGCAACUCGACUCUAUGAAGCUGGAAUCGCUAGUAAUCGCGCAUCAGCCAUGGCGCGGUGAAUACGUUCCCGGGCCUUGUACACACCGCCCGUCAAGCCAUGGAAGUCUGGGGUACCUGAAGUCGGUGAC